UAAACCCCCCCAAAAUACCAUUAAUUUUCAUGAACCCCUAAUUUAUAAUGAAUGACUCCAUAUUUAUAUGGAAGACACCAUGCUAGGAUUAGUAACAAGAAUUUAUAAUUCUCCAAAAUGCAAAUAUAAACCAACAUGGAUAGACCAUUGGUAGUUACCGAACCUAAAUUUACUGCAAUAACACCCACAAGAAAACUCUGCAGUACUUACUCGUUAACCUAACACCAGCGCAUUACAGGAAAGAUUAAAAAAAAGAGAAGGAAUUCGGCAAAUGACGGCCCCGCCUGUUUACCAAAAACAUCGCCUCUUGACUUAUAAUAAGAGGUCCAGCCUGCCCAGUGAAUUUUAAACGGCCGCGGUAUCCUAACCGCGCGAAGGUAGCAUAAUCACUUGUUCUUUAAAUGGGGACUCGUAUCAACGGCAUCACGAGGGUUUUACUGUCUCCUCUUUUUGAUCAGUGAAAUUGAUCUUCCCGUGAAGAAGCGGGGAUAUUUUUAUAAGACGAGAAGACCCCAUGGAGCUUUAAACCAAAUAACAACUUAACUACUUAUCCCACAAUAAAUUUAAGCCCUGUUAUAAGGUUUUUGGUUGGGGUGACCGCGGAGUAAAGCACAUCCUCCACGACGGAAAGAACAUAAUCUUUAUUUAAGAACCACACUUCUAGAAAUUAGUAUACUAACGUUUACUGACCCGACAAUCGAUCAACGGACCAAGUUACCCUGGGGAUAACAGCGCAAUCUACUUCAAGAGCUCAUAUCGACAAGUAGGCUUACGACCUCGAUGUUGGAUCAGGGUAUCCCGGUGGUGCAGCCGCUACCGAAGGUUCGUUUGUUCAACGAUUAAAACCCUAC
Molecule: ribosomal RNA, 851 nt
Filed under: Polypedates leucomystax (Java whipping frog)
Lineage: Eukaryota; Metazoa; Chordata; Amphibia; Anura; Rhacophoridae
Description: partial 16S ribosomal RNA
Rfam family: Bacterial large subunit ribosomal RNA
Source: RNAcentral